GACGAACGCUGGCGGCGCGCUUAACACAUGCAAGUCGAACGGAAAGGCCUGCUUUCCCUUGUGGAUUGCGGGUACUCGAGUGGCGAACGGGUGAGUAACACGUGAGUGAUCUGCCCCCAACUUGGGUAUAAGCCUGGGAAACUGUGUCUAAUUCCCGAUAGGACUGCAGGGUGGUGCCUGUGUUGGAAAACGAUUUUCUAGUGGUUGGGGAUGAGCUCGCGGCCUAUCAGCUUGUUGGUGGGGUAAUGGCCUACCAAGGCGGCGACGGGUAGCCGGCCUGAGAGGGUGGACGGCCACAUUGGGACUGAGAUACGGCCCAGACUCCUACGGGAGGCAGCAGUGGGGAAUAUUGCACAAUGGGCGGAAGCCUGAUGCAGCGACGCCGCGUGGGGGAUGACGGCCUUCGGGUUGUAAACUCCUUUCGACCGCGAGGAAGCCACCUGGUUGGAAGGGUGGUGACGGUAGUGGUAGAAGAAGCACCGGCUAACUACGUG
RNAcentral lists this ribosomal RNA (494 nucleotides) under uncultured bacterium. RNAcentral's name for it is "partial 16S ribosomal RNA". It matches the Rfam family "Bacterial small subunit ribosomal RNA", at positions 28 to 507 of the family's 1533-position model. The record is from RNAcentral.